Magallana angulata is the source of this 1097-nucleotide long non-coding RNA. RefSeq lists it as uncharacterized. The transcript has 2 exons. The record is from RefSeq and is a predicted model, not a curated record. NCBI's taxonomy places the organism in Eukaryota, Metazoa, Mollusca, Bivalvia, Ostreida, Ostreidae.
UCAAUCUUUUAACAACACAUCAAUUUUCUCAAUUACAUCUUCAAUCUGGUCCAGGACACUGCUGUAAUUGAGGCGUAGAGGCUGGGUCAGGAAAUCAGCGGAAAUUAUCGGUGGCACUGCAAAGGAAGUGGACAAGACAGCAACUACAUCACCAAGGGGAGAUAACUCUAUCUAGACCACUGAACAAGACUAUGGGUGCCCAAGGGGCUGGAGAAAUCUGUGUGAUUAUACCCGGUCUAUCAGCGACAGGAUUGCAGACUUUAUCCCAUUGUACACCACCUAAUAUUGCUAGAUGAAAGAUGACUAAUUCAUGCAACUUAUUGAAAGCAGCAGAUGUCCAAAGAAAUAAAUUCCUCUUCAUGGAAAGACUGAUGGAGGGACUACAGUCCGGGAGAAACAUACAAGUAAAACACAUAAAACUGACUUCUCCAUUUUACACUGCAGUAAUUUCCCUGUAUAAAAAUGAUAACAAGCACUGCCGACAGGCAAGGUCUAGCAAAGAUAUAUGGAACAUUACUAACUGUGUCUUUCUCCAGCAAAAGUAAACUUUUUGGCAUUUUUGGAACCAUUAUCUUAAUUCAGUCAGGUUUUUGGUAGAUGAUCUUCUAUUAUACCCCUGCCGAUUUUCCUUGACUGAAUUAUAAACAAAUAAGCGCUAUUUGCUCUUGUGCUGGUUCCAUGAUUAAAAAAAUACAAAACUUCAUAAUCAGGUAAACUUUUCUUUCCAGCUCUGUCUGAGCCCAUAAUUGCCUCUCAUUAUAUGGAGCACGUUAAGAGGUCCAUGCAGCGCUGCUCUAGAAUAAACACGGGAGAGAGCCAGCAAUGGCCAAAUCCAUCAACACCAAUCCACUUUAUUGUGUUUUGCCUGGGUUUAAAAAAUGCCAGGAAUUUUCUAAUUUAGUCAGCAAAAGAAAAUGAUUCAUAGUCAUUAAUAUUCAGGUACAAUAAGGGACAUGCAGGCCGAUUCGCAGAAAAGAUAGGAUGCAAAGAUUAACAAUCUUCUGACAAUGCAAUUAACCAUAUAUCUGUAAGAUUUAUGACAAGUUUUGCAACAUAAACUGUUUAAUCAUGAAAAUAAAAAAAGUCUGGUAAAUGAU